This is a non-coding RNA of Rattus norvegicus (Norway rat), 73 nucleotides long. NCBI's taxonomy places the organism in Eukaryota, Metazoa, Chordata, Mammalia, Rodentia, Muridae. The record is from Rfam.
GUGGAGAUGGCUCAGUGAUUAAGAGCACUGACUGCCUUUCCAGAGGUCCUGAGUUCAAUUCCCAGCAACCACA